Long non-coding RNA from Oncorhynchus tshawytscha (Chinook salmon), 301 nucleotides. The record is from Ensembl. Lineage: Eukaryota; Metazoa; Chordata; Actinopteri; Salmoniformes; Salmonidae.
AGGGGUGCAGGGUUUGGCUACUAUAGGGGGUGCAGGGUAUGCCUACUAUAGGAGGUGCAGGGUUUGGCUACUAUAGGGGGUGCAGGGUAUGCCUACUAUAGGGGUACAGGGUAUGUCUACUAUAGGGGGUGCAGGGUUUGGCUACUAUAGGGGUGCAGGGUAUGCCUACUAUAGGGGGUACAGGGUAUGGCUACUAUAGGGGUGCAGGGGUUUGCCUACUAUAGGGGGUGCAGGGUAUGCCUACUGUAGGGGUGCUGGGUAUGCCUACUAUAUGGGGUGCAGGGUGUGGCUACUAUAGGGG